GGGCGAUUAGCUCAGUGGGAGAGCGCUUCCUUGACACGGAAGAGGUCACUGGUUCAAUCCCAGUAUCGCCCA
The sequence is a transfer RNA, 72 nucleotides long. It matches the Rfam family "tRNA". From Rfam's summary of the family: Transfer RNA (tRNA) molecules are approximately 80 nucleotides in length. The record is from Rfam.